Molecule: ribosomal RNA, 454 nt
Filed under: uncultured bacterium
Lineage: Bacteria
Description: bacterial SSU rRNA
Rfam family: Bacterial small subunit ribosomal RNA
Source: RNAcentral
ACGAGUUUGAUCAUGCUACAGAACGAACGCUGGCGGCAUGCCUAACACAUGCAAGUCGAACGAAGCCUUCGGGCUUAGUGGCGCACGGGUGCGUAACGCGUGGGAACCUACCAUCAGGUUCGGAAUAACAGUUAGAAAUGACUGCUAAUACCGGAUAAUGUCUUCGGACCAAAGAUUUAUCGCCUUUUGAUGGGCCCGCGUAAGAUUAGGUAGUUGGUGGGGUAAAAGCCUACCAAGCCGACGAUCUUUAGCUGGUCUGAGAGGAUGAUCAGCCACACUGGGACUGAGACACGGCCCAGACUCCUACGGGAGGCAGCAGUGGGGAAUAUUGGACAAUGGGCGAAAGCCUGAUCCAGCAAUGCCGCGUGAGUGAUGAAGGCCUUAGGGUUGUAAAGCUCUUUUACUGGGGAUGAUAAUGACAGUACCCAGAGAAUAAGCUCCGGCUAACUCCGUG